Non-coding RNA from Phoenix dactylifera (date palm), 6672 nucleotides. The record is from RefSeq and is a predicted model, not a curated record. NCBI's taxonomy places the organism in Eukaryota, Viridiplantae, Streptophyta, Magnoliopsida, Arecales, Arecaceae.
UUGUGCACUUGUUUUGGCUCAAAGUUAGAGUCUUUGGGAGUUUGGUUGCUUGUUAGGUUUCUAAUUGGAAGAAUUUUAUUAUUAUUAUUUUUUUGGACUGAGUUAGGUCAAAAAAUAUUUUGAACACGAACCAUGAGGGAUGUUAGUUUUCCAUAAUUAAACUCAUGAAAAGAGUCAUAUUUUAGAGAUGAAGAGAAUACCGACCGAGUAACAUGGAAUGCAUUAUGAAACCCAAUUUCAUACUUGGUGAUGCUUGGUAUACUUAAAAGCCCACAGCGGGACACCAGAAACAGGCCCCACUGCCUAUAAAUUGGAUCAAGAGCCCUCCGACAAACCGAGUCCCAGCGCCAACGCUUGUUAGGGUUUUCUCGGUCUCCGCGGCUCCUCGCCCUUCAGCUUCUUUGGGCGAGAAGCCCUUUUUACAAUUCUUCCAUGUUCCCUUGAUUUUUUUGAUUUGAUCUCUAUUCUCUCCUUUCCUCCUGUUGGAAGAUCUUAUGCUAAUUUCUUAGAUUACAGGGUCAUACAUCGCUUCUCUGAUAUUUGCUAAGCUUUUCUAUGGUUUCUGUUAGUGAAUGAUGUUGUUUUCAUCCAUUGUUUAUUUUAGCUGUGUUUAAGGAUGGCCUAAUAUUGCAAUUGUUUGCUGUUGGGUUUUGGGUGCAGCAAGGAAUCUAUCGUUAGGCCAAAUGUUUCUCCUUCCUUUAGCUCCGAAUCAUCCUUUCUAGGGUUUUUCGGUGACAAGGUUGAUGGUGCUAGUUAAGAAUGUGGCACUUGCGGUGGAUAUAUUCUUUAUUUUCUAAUAAAAAUAAAAAAUUUGGGGAAAGCGGUUGAUUCUUUGAAUUUGUUGUUACAACCACUCUGUCAUCUUAUCUACACUCAACUUAUAAUGUUUGGAGAAAUUAAAUUGAUUGAGGAAUGAGACUGAACUUACUUCAGCAUGCCAUGCGUUAGAUAUUGGAUUAUAUGUUGAAUGCUGCGGAAUCUAACAUUGUCCUUCUAUAUAUCUCUUCUAGUCAAAAUGGGUCAUAACUCAUUUGAGUUUUUGUUCAAGUCAUUUUUUUAUAAUUUAGUUCAAUCUUAACAUAGUCAUAUUUUAAGAUGCAGAGCAUAAAAUGUUGACAUUUGUAUGGAUUAAACCUUCUGUUUUUGGUAACUCUUUUCCAAAAUGUGCAAAUCCUACAAUUGUUUGAAAUAUGAUCAAACUCUUUCGACCCAUCUCCCAUCCAUCUUAUCUUGUCAGAUUGGAGUAACCCACUAGUUUUUGCUUGUGAUGACCAUCUAAAUGGUAAAAUAAUCUUUAAUAUGAAUGGUUUGAAGUUUAGCACCAUGUCGUGAAACAUAAUCUAGAGUUUUACAUGAGAAAUUGUAAUGAUUUAAAUUGCAAUGACAGUCCUUUAUCCAAUUUAUACCUAUGAUGCCUGUUUAACUUGAUGAUCCCGAUGGCUGAUUUGAACUUUCUUUUUGCUAACCCUUUAUUUGGAUGCAGCAAUAUAAAUCCAUUGGAAUCUAUCCCAUUUGUCUUGUCAUCCACAGGUAGUCAGUUUUGAUUUAAACUCAAAAUGUUGCAAAAUCUAUUCAACCAACCAACCCAGAUGGUACAACCAUCUUGUUAUUUUAAAAAAAAUUGUGGGCAAAUUUUUGUUAUUUGUUAGCUGUUUGCUGAUAUUAAACUUUUGGAAGGUAAAAAUUAGAGUCUUUAUUGCAUGCGCUAGAACGGUUGUUGAUGCUGCCAAUCUUUGAGGCACAUUCCUAUGGGCUUAAUUUUCGAGAUCAGCACACAAUGAAUGUAACCAAUGUAAUGCACCUGGGUGAGUGGUGGCAUGUAAUGAAUGUUACGGUUUCAUAGUCUAGCUUGGACUAUAGACAAUUUGGCUCAAGCCAAUAAACUAUUAAUGUUAGUUUUUUGUAGAAGAAAAUUUUAGAGACAUUCACUUUUUUAGAGAGUUGUAUAUUGAUUUUUUCUUUUUGAUACAUUGUUGUUUUUUGAUAAUUUAUUAAGAUGAAGCUCAGUCCCAUGGCAUCUCAUGGCUAUUCUCCUUCUUGGAUAAACGUUAUAUCAGUUAAGCCUAGUUUAGUCCAAUAAACUUGUCCCCUUAUCAUGAAGCUUAGACUAAUUGAGAGCCCAUUUGAUAUUGUUUUCAUUUUUUAUUUCUAUUUUCAAAAUCCCAAGAAGAAAGCAUAAUAGACAAACAACCUGCAUGAUAGAAACCAUUUUGCAUUUUCAAAUUUGUUUGAUAAAAACUUUCUCAGACUUUGGAAACAUAAACUUAUUGCUUUCAAAAAUAAAUGAAAACAUAAUGAACGUAUAGUUUGAGUCUCAUGGGAAUGCUGUCAGCCACAUCAAGCUCCAUGCUACUUUUUGCUAAUUUGUGGAUAAAGAAAGUCACAAAAAUGAUAAUAGUAUCAAACAGAUCCAUAGUGUUUAAGCUAGUAUAGCAUUUAGGUUUGGUAACCGUGACUUGCUUUCGUUGAUAAUUGCUAUGCGUACUCUAGAGUUGUAUUCUAGAGUUUUUAUGUUAUUGGCUGAUGAAUUGUCUUGCUUUUCAAGGCUUAGUUACCAACCUUCCAUUCAAUAGUUGAUCAUAAAAUCUAGCUUGCAGCUUUUCAAUAGACUUGCAAGGGCCCUCUGGUGGAGAACCUCCGGAGGAGGAGGAGGUGGAGAACCUUCGGAGGCACUUCGCGAUGGUCCUCAAGUUGUCGGAGGACUAAUCAAAGCCGGUAGGCAGCCUUGGGAGAAAGUUGCAGUCGUUAUUUGGAGCCUUGGUCGAUGGGUUCUGUUGAAGUGGGUGCCUUGUGAGGUGGCGGCGCAUGGAAAGCUUUAGUAUAAGGUGGAGGUGUCUCCCCUUGCCGACGACCAUUUGGUGGUUAGGUUCAAAUUGGAGGAGGAACGGGACACACUCUAUUCGGUGGCCCUUAGGUGGUGGCGGGUGAGCUGUUGGCGGUGGAGCCAUAGGCUCCUGACUUCAUCCCUAGCCUGGACGUUGUCAAAUCGGCGGAGGUGUGGCUGUGGAUGUUGAAGCUCUUGGUGGAGUACUGAGACAAGGAUAUAAUCUUGCAGAUCACCUCAGCUGUAGUUCAAUCGUUAGUCAUGGAUGGCUUUACCGACUAGUUGAAGAAGUUGGAGCUAGGGUUAAGUUGGCCAUUGAUGCCAAUGAGCUAUUGAUGCCGGAGAUUCAAGUUAAGAGGAGGAAUAAGGUUUUGGGGUGGCCUUUCAUGUACGAGAAUGUUCUGGAUUUCUGCUACCAUUGUGCGUGAAUAGGGCAUGCAGAUGAAGAGUGAAAUUUUCAGUGCCGGAGCUAGCGGUGGAGUUGUAAGAUUUGCAGGAGCGUUCAAGGUCCAUGGCUCCAAUGGUGGUGGAGGUAGGCGGAGGCUAGGGGAUUGGUGGCGAACUUGAUACCAGCUUGGACGAGCAAGGUUUGAGGCCUAUUUUUGGCCCUUGGCUGACAAUUGCGAGGAUCCGGCCGUAAAUGGCUAUGAAGGGACUGCCGAGGUGGCGAACCUGAUACCAGCUUGGACGAGCAAGGUUUGAGGCCUAUUUUUGGCCCUUGGCUGACGAUUGCGAGGAUUCGGCCGUAAAUGGGACUGCCGAGGAUGAGGAAGAUGACUGAGUAACGUUGGAGUUGUCAAGGCUGGGUUCCUCUUCCUCACGGGUGAGCUUCCCCUCCAAUCGUCCUAGUUUUCUUAGUUCGUCGUCGAACUCGAAUGGGUGGCAGAAGCCGACGAAGGUAGUGCAUCAGCGAUCGCCCUCGAAGGACUAGGUGAUCGUUGAUGGCGAUGACUCGGGUGCUGUGGAUGAGCAAGGUUGGAGGCCUAUUUUUGGCCCUUGCCUGAUGAUUGCGAAGAUCCGACUAUCAUAGCUUUGAAGGGGUUGUUGAGGAUGAGGAAGAUGACCGUGUAACCUCGAAGUUGUCAGGGUCGAGUUCCUCGUCCUCACGACCGAGCUUCCCCUCCAACUGUCCUAGUUUUCUUAGCUCGUCACCGGACUCGAAUGGGUGGUAGAAGCCGACGAAGGUAGUGCAUCGACGAUCGUUCUCGAAGGACCGGGUGUUAGUUGAUAGUGAUGACUCAGGUGCUAUGGCAACUUAGGUGGGGAUCCGAAUCGGGUCAGGGUUCGACCUGUUGAGAGACUCGACUGACUCGAUUGAGGAGACUGGCGGGGCCGGGCCAGGGACGAGCUAUCUGGUGCAUGGAACUAUAGGAGGGCAGGCAAGCCCCCUUUAUUUCCUCAUUUAGGAGACUGAUUCGGAUGUAUGGCCCGGUCAUUUGUUUUUUGUGUGAAAUUCAGCUUUCUAGAGACAGCCUCCUUCAAACACGGUGUCGGUUUCUAGCGACCUGGGAUUCUUAUGUCAUUGAAUCACUAGGUUUAUUGGGGGGUAUCAUUGUUUUGUGGAAGCGGGAUGUAGCCACUGUGGAUUUUUUCUAUAACUGCCCCCAAUAAGUUGUAAUAGUAAUUUUGGAACAUAAUGAACCUCCUUUGAUUUUGUCGAAUGUGUGUUCUGGUACCGACUUCAGAGUGAGGAGGGCCCUAUGGGGCGAGGUGACUAAUCUUGUUGCACAAGGUAUUCUGACCUUGAUUGCUGGUGAUUUUAACUACAUUUAGGGGCCCAUGGACGAUAGAGGAGGCAAUGCCUAUAGUGACAAAGUCGAAAGAAGGGAGUUUCAUGACUUCACGGGGGCUAAUGGGUUGGUGGAUCUUGGCUUCUUUGGAUCGAGGUUUACUUGGUACAACCAUUUUGGUCAUGCCAGAGUAUGGCAGAGGAUUGAUAGGGUUAUAGCCUCGACGAGUUGGAUUCAACACUUUUCUAUCUAUUAGGUUUAUCACCUUUUUCAGAUCGCUUCAUAUCAUCGUCCGCUCUUGAUUAGCAUUGUUUCUAGCACUUGUCACCACAACCCAUUUCGCUUUGAGAAGAUAUAGUUGUCGAAUCCAAAGUCUUGGGACAUCGUCCGUGGGGUGUGGGGGAUUUGGUGCGGGAGAUGCUAUGCGGAGGGUCACCUACAAAUUGGAGCUCACUAAGUGGAGGUUGCGAAGAUAGAACUGGAAGGUAGCGGGUGAUAUCUUUAGAAGUUUCAAUGAGGUGAUGCAUUUGUUGCUGACCUUUAGGGAAUAGAGGAUAAUAGUGGUGUCUUGUUAGAGGAGGAGCUAGCUGAUUUUCGACGAAAAUUGGCUACACAUCAUUUUUUUUUGCGGCAUGAGGAGGUAUUAUGGCGGCAGAAGUCAAGAGUUCCGUGGAUUAGAGAAGGGGACAUGAACAUUAGGUUCGUCCUCUGAUCUACCAUCAUCAAGAGAUAGAGAAACUUGGUCCGAUUGUUGAGAGAUGAGUCUGGCAAAGUGUGGAGGAGGCGAGCGGGGUUAGAUAGGUGAUGUUCGAUUUUUUCAGAUCCAGGUGGAUGGAGGGCUGCGAUCGAGAGGUGGCCAACUAUUUUUUGCCCCUAGAUGUUGGGGUUGGGGAAGCAGAGAAUGCUAGACUCGUCGAGUCGGUCUUGGAGAUCGAGGUGGUGGGGAGGGGCAUUUUGGGCCUUGGUGGAGGAUAAGCCCACCGCGGUACACCACUCAAUCUCCUCCGAUUACAACAAAAGUGUACAAACAUGAAGAUCCUCAAAAACCAAGAGAGACAUUUUGAUGCUCCUAUCUACUGAGUAAUACCCACUGAGUAAUAUGGAUGCAUUAUGAAACCCAAUUUCAUACUUGGUGAUGCUUAGUAUACUUGAAAGCCCACCGCGGGACACCAGAAACAUGCCCCACUGCCUAUAAAUUGGAUCAAGAGCCCUCUGACAAACCUAGUUGUGAUUCCAUAGGCUAUUCAAAUUUUCUUCUUUUUAGGAACUAAACAAUCUUAUAUCGCUGCAGUGAACCUAAUGUAUACCUUGGUAACUCUCAGCUUAAUGUACUCUACUUAUGCCUUGUUUUACUUCCAGCUUAUGGAUCAUGCCUAUGUUUUCUGUGGUAUAGUUUCUCCUCUGCAUAUAUAUGCACACCCAUUUAAUUCUCCAGAAAUUGGAUGGAGAUAAACUUUUAACUGUUUCAUUAUGGAAGCAGAAGCCUACGUCCCAUAACAUUCCUAAUGCAGGAUCAGCCUGCAGCAAGAAUUUUGGAGCUCUGCAUUCUUCACCUUGCAAUGGCAGAAGUAACAGUGCUAGGAACAAGGCACCAGAUUGUCAUAAAUGAGGCGGUUGAUCUUGCAAAACGAUUCUAUGAUGGCUGUGCUCCUAGGAUUAUCAAUGGAUGCCUCUGGACUUUUGUCAAAGAUUUCAGUGCAAUGGAUGCUGUUCAGUCUUUGGAUCAUCAAAAGCUUGAAAUUUAAGGACAUCUUUAUAGCAGAUCGGAGUGGAAGCAGCGGCAAAAGUUAAAGAAAUCCUCAUUCUAUUUGUCAAAGGCUAACGGUCAUGUAAAGUGGGAGUAGGGAAAACUGCAGGUUAAUUGUGGUGAUCAAAAGGACUUGAUAAAUUUCCAUUGGUUACUGGGAGAACCAAGGGUGAGGAGAAAACGAAAUGUACUUGGCCUUAGAAAUGAAUCACGAGAUCCAUAUUUUUAACGCAUGAUUAGAACCUUUAGUUUUAUUUUGAUGAAUAUUGUGCCCACAUCUGUAUUACAAAAUAAUUCAGACGAAUGCAUUGUAGAUUCUGAGUUUUUGUAUUACUGAUACCAUAUUCACAUAUUUGCAUUUUGUUGUACAA